AUGGUUGAUCGGACCUGUUGGAGUGGUUGAACUGCCGGCCGUGGUGGGCCUGGGGUUCGUAGACAGCAAGUGCAUUAAUUGCUGAGUGAACCGGUGAUCAGGGAGAGCCAUACGCUUUGAUAGUCUAGUGAUCCGGAGAUCAUCUUGAGCUGUGUUCAUUUAAUGGUUGAGUGCAUUGGAGACCCGCAGGGGUCAUACGCAUUAAUGAUAGGACGUGCCGAAAGCCUGCGGAGGUCACGUGCCUUAAUGGCUUGACGACGACAACAGAAU
RNAcentral lists this long non-coding RNA (270 nucleotides) under Phoenix dactylifera (date palm). Its description in RNAcentral is "long non-coding RNA (PDAC_LNC006947)". Lineage: Eukaryota; Viridiplantae; Streptophyta; Magnoliopsida; Arecales; Arecaceae. The record is from RNAcentral.